Long non-coding RNA from Anolis carolinensis (green anole), 2435 nucleotides. RefSeq lists it as uncharacterized. The transcript is spliced from 3 exons. The record is from RefSeq and is a predicted model, not a curated record. NCBI's taxonomy places the organism in Eukaryota, Metazoa, Chordata, Lepidosauria, Squamata, Anolidae.
AAUAAUACAGAAUCCUAGAGUUGGAAGAGACACCCUUCAAAGUCGCAUAAGGUUAGUAUUAGUAAGCAUAACAACAACAACAAUACAAAAUCCAGCAUAUAGAUCUUGUUUGCUGUGUCAUACUAUGUCUUUGUGUCAAUAAUAAUAAUAAUCCAACAUAUAUAUCUCAUUUGCUGUGUCAUACUGUCUUUGUGUCAAUAAUAAUAAUAAUACAGAAUCCUAGAGUUGGAAGAGACACCUUUCAAAGUCGCAUAAGAACAGAUCCCUGGAUUCGAACCUGUCGCAUUGCGCUCUGAACGAGAGCCACGGGGUCCACCUUAACAUCCCCGAAUCAUCCCAUUUUCCAUAACUUUGGGUCCAAGCAGCUGCUCAUGUCACCAGGCCGGACCCGCUCCUCCUCACAUGGCGAAGACAGCUAAUAAGAUUCCCGAUGAAUGAUCCGCACGCAUUUCUGCCCGGCUAAUUUCCGAUGAACCGACAAUCUUUCAGCAAACCCGGCGCGCUGUUUGCACUGGGCUCGGCGAGACAAAGCGAAGACGCUGAGUAAUUUCCAGAACGAGAGGUGUUUCGGCGUGACCUUCAUUCAACGGGGAGUUUGUUCAGGUGCGAAGCCACAAUCGUUCCGUCACAUCAAAUGCCUGGGCAAGCCCUGUUUACGAGGGACGGAGGAGAACUUGCACUGAGAAACCAUUGGAAAGAAAGAAGUGCUCGAGGGUUUUGUGGAAACGGAAUGCGCGGAUACGGAGAACUUAUUGUAAAAUAUAUUCUGCGGCCUCACCGUUACUACGAGGCUUCUCUCAUGCUCCAAAAAGACCGUAAUCACCCCAAAAUCUAUAGAACAGAAGCUCUCCAAAGAUUGAGGUGCUCUUAGUGCUGAUUAUUCAUCCAUCCAAUUGAUUAUUCAAAGCUCAUCUGAAGCUUUAGGUGCUCUUACUGUCUAUUACAGGGAAAAGCAGCUGAGUCCUAAUCCAUAUAAUUGAAUAUUCAAAGCUCAUCUGAAGCUUUAGGUGCUCUUACUGCCUAUUAGACAUGUCCAAAAAAUCGUUUUGAAUCGUAUAUCGGAAUUAUUUCGGAUAGUUCUCGCUUUUUGAUAUGCAUUCCAAGACAUUGUCUCACAGCGCAACCAGCAAUGUAAUUCGAACCAUUGUUGGCCCAUUCUCUAAUUGUCUAAUAUUUUUAAAAAUAUUUUUUUAAAAUUUUUUUGUUUCUGCAACCUACCUUGAAUGGGAGCUUAGCGCAGCCUAACAUGGCUGCCGCUCCCCGGCCAAUCAGAAGCUUCCAUGAUGGAUGCAAAGGUGGGGGCUAACGUCCUCUGCGUCCACAUGGAAGAUUGCCAUACAAGCCCAGUGUGUAGCGAUUGCGCAUGCGCAUUCGCCAUUUUAGAAACAUUUAGAAUCAUUACGAAUUUUUGGAAAUAUCUGAAAUUUUUGGGUGAAAAAAUCAGAAAUACUUUCUAUAUCGAAGCGCCAGAGCCCCCUACUUUAGAAACGAGAAUUGAAACAUUUUUUUCAUUGAUCGGACAUGCCUACUGCCUAUUACAGAGAAAAGCAACUGAUUCGUAAUCAAUGUUACUGAAUAUUCAAAGCUCAUCUAUGCUGACGAUCGAGCCAUCACCGCCCAAAUAGGGAGCUUUGAAUGGUCAGAUGAUAAUUUUCUGAAGCUUUAGGUUCUCUUACUGCCUAUUACAGGGAAAAGCAACUAAUUCGUAAUCAAUGUUAUUGAAUAUUCAAAGCUCAUCUAUGUUGACGAUCAUGCCAUCACUGCCCAAACAGGGAGCUUUGAAAUAGUCAAACGGAAAAUUUCUGAAGCUUUAGGUUCUCUUACUGCCUAUUACAGGGAAAAGCAACUAAUUCGUAAUCAAUGUUAUUGAAUAUUCAAAGCUCAUCUAUGUUGACGAUCAUGCCAUCACUGCCCAAACAGGGAGCUUUGAAAUAGUCAAACGGAAAAUUUCUGAAGCUUUAGGUUCUCUUACUGCCUAUUACAGGGAAAAGCAACUAAUUCGUAAUCAAUGUUAUUGAAUAUUCAAAGCUCAUCCAUGUUGAUGAUCAAGCCAUCACCGUCCAAGCUUUGAAUGGUCAGAUGAAAGUUUUCUGAAGCUUUAGGUGCUCUUACUGCCUAUUACAGAGAAAAUCAGCUGAUUCCUAAUCCAUCUAAUUGAAUAUUCCAAGCUCUCCGAACCUUUUUACAGCAACAUCAGAAGCACUCCAAGUGGCCAGCUACUGGUCAGACAUUUAGUAUAAUGCCAAGUUCUUCUUCUUCUUGUUGUUGUUUUUAAACUUUGUGAUUUCAAAUACAUUACAACUUUGAUGCAUGCCACACAUACACUCUCCUUGGAAAGAGAGUGUGUGUGUGGCAUGCUGGGCCCAGAACUCAGCGGUGAUUUGAUGGGAAGGGAAGGCCCAAUGGAGAAAAAGCAAGUGGAUAAUAAUAAUAAU